AGACAAAUUAAAAUCUCUCAACUGAAAACAUCGAUUUGUCAUGAAGCUCUCACUAUCAUCUACAAACUUAACAAACUAGUUCUCUAUAUUUUGAAGUGGCCAAAAAAGUUUCAUUCAUCUGUUCACUUUUUGAUAUAAAUGAAGGUUCUUGUCUGUUUUAUAAUAAUUGUCAUAAUAACCUCAUACGUUCGAUGUGAUUUUGACCCAACUCAACAUCCCAAUUGGCAUCUGGUCAAUGAUAAGCAAUGUGGUCUUCAGCCGGCUCUGAGAAUAUUUGGUGGGCAAGAUGCCAGCUUAGGAGAGUUUCCUUGGAUGGUCCUUGUGAUUACUGAUAAGAGAGACCCCAUUUCUGGCCAGACUCAUUUCUUCCAAUGUGGUGGAUCUAUAAUAAGUGAGAAAUACAUUCUGAGUGCUGCACACUGCUUCAUUGAUUUAAUUCAUGAUAUUUCCAACAUACGAUUCAUAGUUGGCGAUUAUGACUUAGCCAGUGAACCUGAUUGUGACGUCAAUGGUGUUUGUGCACCAACUCACAUUGAGUACCCUGCUUCCGAGGUUAUAUUACAUCAUGAGUACAUACCACAUGAUAAUUUCUCUUAUCAUCCUCAUGCAGACAUAGCUUUGGGCAGAGUUGAUCAAGGAUUCGUUUUUACAGAUUUUGUACUACCAAUCUGCUUGGAGUAUGGAUAUUUACUACACCAAAAUUAUGGUGGUCUGAUAGCUGAGACUAUUGGUUGGGGAGGAUAUCGUUUAACCCAAGGCGAUAAACUCGAGUAUCCGACUGUAAUACAGAAAGUCUCGCUGGAGGUGUUCGAUCAGCCGACCUGCACGCAAGCACUGUCCCUUAUUCCAGACUUCGCAUCUGUCAUUCCAGAAUGGCAGAUUUGCGCCGGGACUCAAACCCAAUACUCCCACCUCGGCGAUUCGGGAGGUCCCAUGUUCAUCGUGAAAUCCGUCCAGGGUGACAUUCCCAGACAAUUUCAGAUUGGCAUUUUUAUAAGCACUGCUCCAAUAGGAGACACCUCCUGGUACGGUGGUAUACGACCCAGCGGGUAUACUAGAGUUGCCAGCUACCUUCAAUGGAUUCUGGAUCAGAUGAGGGACUAGAUGGAAGAGAGAGAAAAAUAGAUAAAAAAUGGAGAUCUCCACUAUUCGUAUUUGAUGAAAUCAUAGAGAAAAGAUGGAGAUCUUUAGGCUAGUUUCACACACAUUCGGUUCGGUUCGGUUCGUUUCGUUCUCGGCAAAUUCCGAUAAGUGUGAAAGGGGGAUUCGGUUAGAAUUCGGUACCGAAUAGCAACCGCAUAGCACCGAACGCCCCCUCGAAGCGAAUAGGUUUUAUCAUAUUCGAAUCAGUUGCUAGGAAACCGGAAAUAAAAACAAAGUAUUUUACACACGCUUGCUUUUUUGUUUGUUUUAACGUGAUAUCGUGAUUAUUUGUUUCAAAAUCUUCCAUGUCAAAAUCAUAUGGUCGAUUCA
RNA transcript from Nilaparvata lugens (brown planthopper), 1473 nucleotides. It is a transcript of the gene named spaetzle-processing enzyme-like, with no coding region annotated. The transcript is spliced from 7 exons. Lineage: Eukaryota; Metazoa; Arthropoda; Insecta; Hemiptera; Delphacidae. The record is from RefSeq and is a predicted model, not a curated record.